CUGAUCGUGUGAUAGACUGAUAGUGAUUGAUCCUGCUUGGAACCCGAGUACUGAUAACCAAAGUGUGGAUCGAGCAUAUCGAAUUGGACAGAAAAAGGAUGUGAUUGUAUAUAAAUUAGUGACUUGUGGGACUGUUGAAGAAAAGAUCUACAGAAAACAGAUUUACAAAGACCGAUUGUUUAAAAUUGCAACUGAGCUGCAACUGAGCUGAAGGAGCAGAUUAGGUACUUUAGUCAAAAGGAACUUAGUGAACUUUUCAGUCUCCCACAACAUGGUUUUAAUGUUUCACUUACUCAGAAGUGGCUAAAUAAGGAGCAUGAUCGACAGCAGUACACAGUGGAAACUCGUUACAAUCCCAUAUAGAAUUCUUGGAAACUCUAGAGAUAGCUGGUGUCAGUCACCACAGACAGCACCACCUCUGCCUGAGGUAGAUGCGGAGCAGGAGGAAAACGCUUUAAAAGUGGGCAGGAAGAAAAGCUUGGAACAUAUUCUUGAUUCAGGUUCUGAUGAAAAGAGUAUAGUUUUCAGCCAGUGGGCUUCAUAUUUGGAUCCCUUGGAGACUGCUAUGACGAGAAGAGGAAUUGGGUGUGUAAGGUUUGAUGGAAAGCUGACGGAUUUAUAUAGGGACAGGGCAUUGGCUGAGUUUAGUAAGACCAAGGACAAAAUGGUACUGUUGAUGUCUUUGAAAGCUGGUGGUGACAGUAGAUCUAACUGCAGCAUCUAACGUCUUUCUAAUGGAUCCACCAUGGAAUCCAGUUGUUGAGGAGCAAGCAAUAAUGAGAAUUCUUCGUAAUAGACUGAAGCUAGCUUUUAUGAGAUUUAUUGUAAAGGACACAGUGGAGGAACGACUGCAGCCAAUUCAGGCGAGGAAGCAGCGGAUGAUCUCCCGAGCUCUCACUGAUUAUGAAGUUCAUUCUGCCAGGAUUGAAGAACUCAAGGUGCUUUUUACUUGAAUAUCAUUGUCAUUAGUUCCUUGUUUCCAUCUUCGGUUAUUAUAGGUGGUCCUUUUUUUUGUUUUUGAUGCUCUGAAACUUAUGGCCCCCAAUUUUGUAAAUCUUAGGCAUAACAGUGCUAAUGUCAGUUAUCAUUACGAAUCUAUCAACUUUUUGGAAAACAGUUGACAGUACAUUGUGACAAGAAUGUGAAAUGUUGAAUGAUUCAGUAGUGUGACUGAUCUGUUUU
Molecule: RNA transcript, 1182 nt
Organism: Fragaria vesca subsp. vesca
Lineage: Eukaryota; Viridiplantae; Streptophyta; Magnoliopsida; Rosales; Rosaceae
Exons: 8
Source: RefSeq, a predicted model, not a curated record